CCUACGGGAGGCAGCAGUAAGGAAUAUUGGUCAAUGGACGAAAGUCUGAACCAGCCAUGCCGCGUGAAGGAUUAAGGUCCUCUGGAUUGUAAACUUCUUUUAUCUGGGACGAAAAAAGGCGAUUCUUCGUCACUUGACGGUACCAGAUGAAUAAGCACCGGCUAACUCCGUGCCAGCAGCCGCGGUAAUACGGAGGGUGCAAGCGUUAUCCGGAUUCACUGGGUUUAAAGGGUGCGUAGGCGGGCAGGUAAGUCAGUGGUGAAAUCCUUGAGCUUAACUCGAGAACUGCCAUUGAUACUAUCUGUCUUGAAUAUUGUGGAGGUAAGCGGAAUAUGUCAUGUAGCGGUGAAAUGCUUAGAUAUGACAUAGAACACCUAUUGCGAAGGCAGCUUACUACGCAUAUAUUGACGCUGAGGCACGAAAAGCGUAGGGGAUCAAACAGGAUUAGAUACCCUGGUAGUCCACGCCCUAAACGAUGAUUACUCGACAUUUGUGAUACACUAUAAGUGUCUGAGCGAAAGCAUUAGUAAUCCACCUGGAAGUACGAUACGCAAGAUUGAAACUUCAAAGGAAAUUAGAACGG
Molecule: ribosomal RNA, 583 nt
Filed under: uncultured bacterium
Lineage: Bacteria
Description: bacterial SSU rRNA
Rfam family: Bacterial small subunit ribosomal RNA
Source: RNAcentral